Molecule: small RNA, 90 nt
Filed under: Salix viminalis (osier)
Lineage: Eukaryota; Viridiplantae; Streptophyta; Magnoliopsida; Malpighiales; Salicaceae
Source: RNAcentral
AUUUCUGAGAUGACAGAAAACCAUAAGCCUUUUGAAUUUCGAGGUAAUUCAGGUAUGAAUUACCUAAGUAGCUUCUAUCAACUGAGGGAU